GAUGAAGAACGUAGCGAAAUGCGAUAAGUAGUGUGAAUUGCAGAAUUCAGUGAAUCAUCGAAUCUUUGAACGCACAUUGCGCCCUUUGGUAUUCCUUAGGGCAUGCCUGUUCGAGCGUCAUUUAAACCUUCAAGCUCAGCUUGGUGUUGGGUGACUGUCCGCUUCACCUCGGACUCGCCUCAAAAUUAUUGGCGGCCGGUACAUUGGCUCUCGAGCGCAGCAGAAACGCGUAACUCGAGGUCCUCGUGCUGGCUCCCAGAAGCUAUCUUCACAAUUUUGACCUCGGAUCAGGUAGGGAUACCCGCUGAACUUAAGCAUAUCAAUAAGCGGAGGA
This 334-nucleotide unclassified non-coding RNA is filed under the name soil metagenome. RNAcentral's name for it is "partial contains 5.8S ribosomal RNA, internal transcribed spacer 2, and large subunit ribosomal RNA". The stretch from base 1 to 120 matches the Rfam family "5.8S ribosomal RNA", at positions 35 to 154 of the family's 154-position model. The record is from RNAcentral.